Acromyrmex echinatior (Panamanian leafcutter ant) is the source of this 46-nucleotide non-coding RNA. Lineage: Eukaryota; Metazoa; Arthropoda; Insecta; Hymenoptera; Formicidae. The record is from Rfam.
UCACAGGCUUCUUUUGAAGCCAGCUUUAUACCAUUAAGAGAGUUCU